ACCCCAGGUCAGRCGGGAUCACCCGCUGAGUUUAA
Molecule: ribosomal RNA, 35 nt
Filed under: Paraboea dolomitica
Lineage: Eukaryota; Viridiplantae; Streptophyta; Magnoliopsida; Lamiales; Gesneriaceae
Description: partial 26S ribosomal RNA
Source: RNAcentral